AUUGCCUUAAAUGUCACUUGCCACCUAUCGUAUAGUACUAUUUGUUAGUUAGUAUUCCGGAAAAGCAAAACACGGCUAUGGAACAGCCGAAGGAUCUUGACAACGAAAAGAAGGAAAAGGAGAGCCUAGAUUGGAGGGAUACAAUGAGUCAGAUGGAAAUAAUGCGUCUCCUUAGUCUGCAAUCGAAUUCUGAGAAAACCGCGAGCCGGAAGAGAUCUUUUAGUUUAGAUCCAGAGAAGCGUGAAAUUGACGGAAUUUGAAAAAUACAACAUUAACAAAAUUCUGAGCGAUAAAAAAUACUGAAAAACGUGUUGUUUCAUAUCAUUGUUAUCGGCUAUUAAAUAAAAUAAAAGCAGAAU
Molecule: non-coding RNA, 359 nt
Organism: Drosophila melanogaster (fruit fly)
Lineage: Eukaryota; Metazoa; Arthropoda; Insecta; Diptera; Drosophilidae
Source: Ensembl